AGCCUGAUGCAGCCAUGCCGCGUGUGUGAAGAAGGCCUUCGGGUUGUAAAGCACUUCAGCAGUGAGGAAGGCGGGUACGUUAAUAGCGUUUCGUUUGACGUUAGCUGCAGAAGAAGCACCGGCUAACUCCGUGCCAGCAGCCGCGGUAAUACGGAGGGUGCGAGCGUUAAUCGGAAUUACUGGGCGUAAAGCGCAUGCAGGUGGUUCGUUAAGUCAGAUGUGAAAGCCCGGGGCUCAACCUCGGAACUGCAUUUGAAACUGGCGGACUAGAGUACUGUAGAGGGGGGUAGAAUUUCAGGUGUAGCGGUGAAAUGCGUAGAGAUCUGAAGGAAUACCGGUGGCGAAGGCGGCCCCCUGGACAGAUACUGACACUCAGAUGCGAAAGCGUGGGGAGCAAACAGGAUUAGAUACCCUGGUAGUCCACGCCGUAAACGAUGUCUACUUGGAGUUGUGGCCUUGAGCCGUGGCUUUCGGAGCUAACGCGUUAAGUAGACCGCCUGGG
RNAcentral lists this ribosomal RNA (502 nucleotides) under Vibrio sp. 3T5,2 6. RNAcentral's name for it is "bacterial SSU rRNA". It matches the Rfam family "Bacterial small subunit ribosomal RNA", at positions 380 to 877 of the family's 1533-position model. The record is from RNAcentral. Lineage: Bacteria; Pseudomonadati; Pseudomonadota; Gammaproteobacteria; Vibrionales; Vibrionaceae.